This 704-nucleotide ribosomal RNA is filed under the name Burkholderia sp. RNAcentral's name for it is "bacterial SSU rRNA". It matches the Rfam family "Bacterial small subunit ribosomal RNA", at positions 50 to 748 of the family's 1533-position model. Lineage: Bacteria; Pseudomonadati; Pseudomonadota; Betaproteobacteria; Burkholderiales; Burkholderiaceae. The record is from RNAcentral.
UUAACAUGCAGUCGAACGGCAGCACGGGUGCUUGCACCUGGUGGCGAGUGGCGAACGGGUGAGUAAUACAUCGGAACAUGUCCUGUAGUGGGGGAUAGCCCGGCGAAAGCCGGAUUAAUACCGCAUACGAUCUACGGAUGAAAGCGGGGGACCUUCGGGCCUCGCGCUAUAGGGUUGGCCGAUGGCUGAUUAGCUAGUUGGUGGGGUAAAGGCCUACCAAGGCGACGAUCAGUAGCUGGUCUGAGAGGACGACCAGCCACACUGGGACUGAGACACGGCCCAGACUCCUACGGGAGGCAGCAGUGGGGAAUUUUGGACAAUGGGCGAAAGCCUGAUCCAGCAAUGCCGCGUGUGUGAAGAAGGCCUUCGGGUUGUAAAGCACUUUUGUCCGGAAAGAAAUCCUUGGCUCUAAUACAGUCGGGGGAUGACGGUACCGGAAGAAUAAGCACCGGCUAACUACGUGCCAGCAGCCGCGGUAAUACGUAGGGUGCGAGCGUUAAUCGGAAUUACUGGGCGUAAAGCGUGCGCAGGCGGUUUGCUAAGACCGAUGUGAAAUCCCCGGGCUCAACCUGGGAACUGCAUUGGUGACUGGCAGGCUAGAGUAUGGCAGAGGGGGGUAGAAUUCCACGUGUAGCAGUGAAAUGCGUAGAGAUGUGGAGGAAUACCGAUGGCGAAGGCAGCCCCCUGGGCCAAUACUGACGCUC